GUCGUUCCGAGGUGGUGCCCGAUGCAGAGAUCGUUCCCGAGGCGGUGUCCUUGUCCAAGGCCGUUCCCGAGGCCGUGCCCGAGGCCGUUCCCGAGGCGGGGGCCUUGUCCAAUGUCGUUCCUGAGGCCGUUCCUGAGGCCGUUCCUGAGGUCGUUCCUGAGACCGUUCCCGAGGCGGUGUCCUGGUCCGAUGCCGUUCCUGAGGCCGUUCCUGAGGCCAUUCCAGAGGCGGUGGCCGAUGCUGUUCCGGAGGCCGAUGCGGGGCCCAGGAUGGCUCCGGAGGCGAUACCCGUGUCCAAGGCCGUUCCCGAGGCGGUGCCCUUGUCUGAGGUCGUUCCUGAUGCCGUUCCCAAUGCCGUGACCGGGCCAUCGCCACAGCCUGCUCCUUACUGGCUCCCCGAUUGGCAGGUUCCGUUCGGGCCACUCAAAUGGCGAAUUCCUCCCUGGCCGUCUGCACAACGAGAAUGGACUG
Molecule: long non-coding RNA, 471 nt
Organism: Cyprinus carpio carpio
Lineage: Eukaryota; Metazoa; Chordata; Actinopteri; Cypriniformes; Cyprinidae
Source: Ensembl